GAUGAACGCUGGCGGCGUGCCUAAUACAUGCAAGUCGAGCGAACGGACGAGAAGCUUGCUUCUCUGUUGUUAGCGGCGGACGGGUGAGUAACACGUGGAUACCCUCCCUAUCAGACUGGGAUCACUUCGGGAAACCGGCGAUAAUACCGGAUGAUAUUUUGCACCGCAUGGUUCAAAAGUGAAAGACGGUCUUGCUGUCACUUAUAGAUGGAUCCGCGCUGCAUUAGCUAGUUGGUAAGGUAACGGCUUACCAAGGCAACGAUGCAUAGCCGACCGGAGAGGUUGAUCGGCCACACUGGAACUGAGACACGGUCCAGACUCCUACGGGAGGCAGCAGUAGGGAAUCUUCCGCAAUGGGCGAAAGCCUGACGGAGCAACGCCGCGUGAGUGAUGAAGGUCUUCGGAUCGUAAAACUCUGUUAUUAGGGAAGAACAUAUGUGUAAGAAACUGUGCACAGCUUGACGGUACCUAAUCAGAAAGCCACGGCUAACUACGUG
Molecule: ribosomal RNA, 497 nt
Filed under: uncultured bacterium
Lineage: Bacteria
Description: partial 16S ribosomal RNA
Rfam family: Bacterial small subunit ribosomal RNA
Source: RNAcentral